Molecule: long non-coding RNA, 302 nt
Filed under: Capsella grandiflora
Lineage: Eukaryota; Viridiplantae; Streptophyta; Magnoliopsida; Brassicales; Brassicaceae
Description: long non-coding RNA (CGRA_LNC000201)
Source: RNAcentral
GCUAACGAACAGUCUUCUUCUUCUUCUCGGUAUCGAAACUCGUUUACCGAAGCUGGAAAAGCCUGAAAGGGAAGAAGAAAGGUUGGAAGGAAGACGAAUCGAGAGACUGAUCGUGAAACUAGGGUUGGAAAGAGGAAAAAAUGGAUUUGGGAUUUUUCUUUUUUUUACAAAAAGAGAAAAUAGUUAAGUUUUAGAAAACUUAUUAAUUUUAGCCUCUCUCGGCGCGCCACGUGGCCUAAGAAUCGAGGUCGAACGCUUCUUAUCGAACAAGCGGAUAGAUCUUAAGAAAACACUGUUUUCAU